This 77-nucleotide transfer RNA is filed under the name Aeromonas phage Ah1. RNAcentral describes it as "tRNA-Lys". It matches the Rfam family "tRNA". From Rfam's summary of the family: Transfer RNA (tRNA) molecules are approximately 80 nucleotides in length. Lineage: Duplodnaviria; Heunggongvirae; Uroviricota; Caudoviricetes; Pantevenvirales; Straboviridae. The record is from RNAcentral.
GAGUCGCUAAUUCAGUUGGAUAGAAUAUCUGACUUUUAAUCAGAAGGUCCCGAGUUCGAAUCUCGGGCGACUCACCA